Long non-coding RNA from Alosa sapidissima (American shad), 2063 nucleotides. RefSeq lists it as uncharacterized. The transcript has 3 exons. NCBI's taxonomy places the organism in Eukaryota, Metazoa, Chordata, Actinopteri, Clupeiformes, Clupeidae. The record is from RefSeq and is a predicted model, not a curated record.
UAAAAGCACCUACAAGCUGACAACUACUUAAGACACUACCCUGAGGGAAGGCUUGAAUGACCUAAUUUGAUGAAAAAAGGAGCAACUAACAGCCCAAGACAACCGGCAAACCCAACCCAUGUGGGUGGAGAGAAGAGAGGGGGAGCGUGGAUAUCUGGGCUGUGGGGCGUGUAAGUUUCACAGCAACUUAGUUUCAGUCACAUUACGUCUCAGGGACAGUGGUGCAGCCGGGUACGUGCUUCCGCUCAAGUUCACUCACAACACACUGUGAAAAGUGAAAGAAGGACCUUAUUUUGUGAUUGAGAAACCUGAUCUUGUCUUCUUAAAAAUUAUCUGAGCUGGAACAGUUUAAUUUCUUGACAUUCCUUGAAAUUAAGCUUGGAUAUAAUCCACUUAAGAGCUGAGGACUGGAAGACCAGAGAUCUUUAUCAGAGCCCUUGUAUCAAAAUCACACUUACUUUGGCUGGUGUGUUACUGAGUCUGCCUCAGACAAACAGCACUGAGGGCCCAGCUGUGGAAUCUCAAACAGCCCCUCAGCACAAAGAUCAAGUCCAAACGAGUCUAUGUCUUGGAUGACCAAUCAGACGAAUUCAUCAGGGGUAGAGAGACCUGAGGCGGUCACCGUCCCACUGCAGCUUGUUGGAGGGACAGGUGAAAAUGGGGAUGCUCCCUGUGGCUUCAACAGUCAAAAGUUUUCCAUCAGCAGAUGUCUGGAUUCCCUUAGCCAGCGCAUCACUUCCCUCUGGCCCUGCUGCAGGGACAGAGACCACAGGAGACUAGCCAUCUACAGUGUUGUUUGUGGACUGUCUUGUGUUGGGGCCACAGCUUUGAUCUUUUCUGUCAAGGCACGGGAGAGGAGAAGGGCUGACCCAGAGAGUGCACAGAUCUACUCGGACAAGGCCAGGAGUCGGGCUCUAGUGUCCAUUCUGCUUUGCCUGGCUCUUCCUUUUCUCAUCGCAGCUGUUGUGAUUUUUGCAUCGUACCUCCUCACUUUUGUAAACUGAGGCAGAAUUUGGGCUUUUGCUUCUCAUCUGUACACAAAAGGCAUAAACAAUGCUCUGCUGAAAUCGAAUUGAACAUCGAAUCUACUCGGUGGAAGCCCAUUGGCCAGCAUUAAAGGAUAUGACUAAUAUGACUAUUGAAUGUGAGCAUUAGUUACAAUUGGACACAAGCUCUUCACUGAUCACCAGCUUUGAGGAAAUGUAGCACUAUAUAGCCCUGCUCUAAAGGUUAGCUCACUCCAAGUCACUCUGGUUAAGAGCAUCGGCUAAAUUCAUAUAAUGAAUCCAAACCUUAUUUCACAGUACUGCAGGUGCAUUUCCACGAGACGCUGCCUAGACCAGUUUAUCAGCACCUCUGCCACUAAAGAAAUGAGAGGUCAAGUUCUGUUUUAUUUCCCUGUCCAUUGGCAAGGCGUAAGGCUUGUUUUUUGAGUGGUGCUUUAAAGUCAAGCUAAAGAAGGCCGAUGAGAUAAAAACAAUAGACAAAGGAAACAGAGUGGCAUUUGAGAUAAAUACUUUUAUUGGACAAACAGCGCAUGUUAAGAUACAAUUGCCCUGCUGGACGGACUGAGCUCAGAGUGCUACACUUUGCAAUCAACUCACAAAUCAUUCCUCUAAUUUUGGCACCAUGAAGACCAUUCUUAUGGACUGUGGCUGACCUGUUAUAGAACUGUAAUAACUAAGUGGGUCCCCCUCCAUUGUACUGUUACAAACAUGGGAAUGCCCAUCAGAGAGAAGCCCAGCCACUUGGCCAAAGGGGAUGUAAAUAGAAACUUGUUUGGGGCCUUCUAGCUCCAUAACGUGAUGUAGGCAUACAUUUACACAAAAAUACAAAAUCAUGUUUUGAAACUUUGCAUGGUUAGUUCUCAUGAGACAUUCUGGUCAGUCCGAACACCAUCCAAGACUGCUUUUAGCAUUGAUUCACACUGUUAAACAUUUCUAUUCUGUUACAUACCGUGUGAAUAUAAAAAUGUAUUUUUGUGCUUUCAAAACCUUCUUUUAUAUAUGUAAUUUGUACAUUGCAUGUUUUCAGUACUUCUCCAAUAAAAAAAGAUAAAACAG